ACGUACACUCCUGCGGGAGGCAGCAGUGGGGAAUAUUGGACAAUGGGCGCAAGCCUGAUCCAGCCAUGCCGCGUGAGUGAUGAAGGCCCUAGGGUUGUAAAGCUCUUUCACCGGUGAAGAUAAUGACGGUAACCGGAGAAGAAGCCCCGGCUAACUUCGUGCCAGCAGCCGCGGUAAUACGAAGGGGGCUAGCGUUGUUCGGAUUUACUGGGCGUAAAGCGCACGUAGGCGGACUAUUAAGUCAGGGGUGAAAUCCCGGGGCUCAACCCCGGAACUGCCUUUGAUACUGGUAGUCUUGAGUUCGAGAGAGGUGAGUGGAAUUCCGAGUGUAGAGGUGAAAUUCGUAGAUAUUCGGAGGAACACCAGUGGCGAAGGCGGCUCACUGGCUCGAUACUGACGCUGAGGUGCGAAAGCGUGGGGAGCAAACAGGAUUAGAAACCCCAGUAGUCCCAUA
RNAcentral lists this ribosomal RNA (454 nucleotides) under uncultured organism. RNAcentral describes it as "partial 16S ribosomal RNA". It matches the Rfam family "Bacterial small subunit ribosomal RNA", at positions 329 to 799 of the family's 1533-position model. The record is from RNAcentral.